AAAUAUAAAAACAAACAAGAGCGUAUGGGGGAUGCCUAGGCUCUGAGAGGCGAAGAAGGACGUGAUAAGCUGCGAAAAGCUGUGGGUAGGUGCACAUAACCGUUGAUCCGCAGAUCUCCGAAUGGGACAACCCACCUAAUUAAUUAGGUAUCCAGUAAUGGAGGCAAACCCGGUGAACUGAAACAUCUAAGUAACCGGAGGAAAAGAAAACAAAAGUGAUUUCCCAAGUAGCGGCGAGCGAACGGGAAAUAGCCCAAACCAGUGUUGUUUCGGCAACGUUGGGGUUGUAGGACUACAAUAUUACUAAUGCAAAAGAAGUGGAAGCUGUUUGGAAAGACACAUCAUAGAGGGUGAUAAUCCCGUACAUGUAAAGUUGUAUUAUUAUAGUAGUAUCCUGAGUAGGUCGGGGCACGUGAAACCUUGACUGAAUCUAGCGGGACCAUCCGCUAAGGCUAAAUACUCCUCAGAGACCGAUAGUGAACCAGUACCGUGAGGGAAAGGUGAAAAGUACCCUGAAUAAGGGAGUGAAAUAGUACCUGAAACCAUGCGCUUACAAGCGGUCGGAGCACAUUCAUUGUGUGACGGCGUGCCUUUUGCAUAAUGAGCCUACGAGUUAGUCGUCACUUGCGAGGUUAAGUUCUUCAGGAACGUAGCCGAAGCGAAAGCGAGUCUUAACAGGGCGUUAAGUCAGUGGCGCUAGACGCGAAACUUUGUGAUCUACCCAUGUCCAGAUUGAAGGUUUGGUAACACAAACUGGAGGAUCGAACCCGUUGACGUUGAAAAGUCUUGGGAUGAGGUGUGGGUAGGGGUGAAAGGCCAAUCAAACUGAGAAAUAGCUCGUACUCCCCGAAAUGCAUUUAGGUGCAGCCUUGGAGUUAAGUGUUAUAGAGGUAGAGCUACUGAUUGGAUGCGAGGGCUUCACCGCCUAUCAAAUCCAGAUAAACUCCGAAUGCUAUAACAUGUUCUCCAGGAGUGAGCCCGUGGGUGCUAAGGUCCACGGACGAGAGGGAAACAACCCGGACCAUCAGCUAAGGUCCCCAAAUAUAUGCUAAGUUGAACUAACGCGGUAAGAUUGCACAGACAGCUAGGAUGUUGGCUUGGAAGCAGCCAUUCAUUUAAAGAGUGCGUAACAGCUCACUAGUCGAGCGAUCUUGCAUGGAUGAUAAUCGGGCAUAAGCAUAUUACCGAAGCUAUGGGAUAGUAUAUUAAUUUAUACGAUCGGUAGGGGAGCAUUCUAAUCUGCGCAGAAGCAGUCUGGUAAUGGAUUGUGGAGCGGUUAGAAAAGCAAAUGUAGGCAUGAGUAACGAUAAUGCGGGCGAGAAACCCGCACGCCAAUAGACUAAGGAUUCCUGAUCAACGCUAAUCGGAUCAGGGUAAGUCGGGACCUAAGGCGACGCCGAAGGGCUAAGUCGAUGGCAAACCGGUUAAUAUUCCGGUACCUUAUAUAACUGCGAUGCAGUGACGGAGUAGUGAAAUCACCUCGGACAGACGGAUGUUCGAAUAACAGCAAAGACGUAGAUUUUAGUAGUUAAGUACGCUAGAAGAGUUGAAGCUGGAAAGUAUGCCAAUGCUACGGCAGCGGCAAGUGUGAGUAAACAGACUUCCAAGAAAACCUGCUAAGCUUCAGGUUAUAUAGGCCCGUACCGCAAACCGACACAGGUAGUCAAGUAGAGUAUACUAAGGCGCUCGAGAGAUUCAUGGCUAAGGAACUAGGCAAAAUCGCCCCGUAACUUCGGGAGAAGGGGCGCUCACAGCAAUGUGAGCCGCAGUGAAUAGGCCCAGGCGACUGUUUAGCAAAAACACAAGGCUUUGCAAAUUCGAAAGAAGAGGUAUAAGGCCUGACACCUGCCCGGUGCUGGAAGGUUAAAAGGAGAGCUUAGCGUUGAGCGAAGGUUUGAAUUGAAGCCCCAGUAAACGGCGGCCGUAACUAUAACGGUCCUAAGGUAGCGAAAUUCCUUGUCGGGUAAGUUCCGACCUGCACGAAUGGUGUAACGAUCUGGGCACUGUCUCAGCCAUGAUCUCGGUGAAAUUGAAGUAUCGGUGAAGAUGCCGAUUACCCGCAACGGGACGAAAAGACCCCGUGAACCUUUACUAUAGCUUAACAUUGAAUUCGGGUAAGUAAUGUGUAGGAUAGGUCGGAGACUGUGAAGCGUGUGCGCCAGUGCAUGUGGAGUCACCCUUGAAAUACGACCCUUUGCUUAUUUGACUUCUAACUCAGCGAUGAGGACAGUGUUUGGUGGGUAGUUUGACUGGGGUGGUCGCCUCCAAAAGCGUAACGGAGGCUUCUAAAGGUUCCCUCAGGAUGUUUGGUAAUCAUCCGCAGAGUGCAAUGGCAUAAGGGAGCUUGACUGAGAGACCUACAAGUCGAUCAGGUACGAAAGUAGAGCAUAGUGAUCCGGUGGUUCCGAAUGGAAGGGCCAUCGCUCAAAGGAUAAAAGGUACUCCGGGGAUAACAGGCUGAUCGCUCCCAAGAGCUCAUAUCGACGGAGCGGUUUGGCACCUCGAUGUCGGCUCGUCACAUCCUGGGGCUGGAGAAGGUCCCAAGGGUUGGGCUGUUCGCCCAUUAAAGUGGCACGCGAGCUGGGUUCAGAACGUCGUGAGACAGUUCGGUCUCUAUCUGUUGUGGGCGUGGGAAAUUUGAGAGGAUCUGACUCUAGUACGAGAGGACCGGGUUGGACAAACCUCUAGUGCAUCAGUUGUGGCGCCAGCUGCAUUGCUGAGUAGCUAUGUUUGGAACGGAUAAGUGCUGAAAGCAUCUAAGCACGAAGCCAGCCUCAAGAUAAGAUUUCCAAAUAGGGACGUUAGAGACGAUAACGUUGAUAGGCUGUAGGUGUAAGUGCGGCAACGUAUUUAGCCGAGCAGUACUAAUUACCCAAAAGUUUUUAUAU
This 2888-nucleotide ribosomal RNA is filed under the name Balneicella halophila. RNAcentral's name for it is "bacterial LSU rRNA". It matches the Rfam family "Bacterial large subunit ribosomal RNA". Lineage: Bacteria; Pseudomonadati; Bacteroidota; Bacteroidia; Bacteroidales; Balneicellaceae. The record is from RNAcentral.